Molecule: microRNA precursor, 90 nt
Filed under: Nannospalax galili (Upper Galilee mountains blind mole rat)
Lineage: Eukaryota; Metazoa; Chordata; Mammalia; Rodentia; Spalacidae
Description: microRNA 450-1 (ENSNGAG00000002965.1)
Rfam family: mir-450 microRNA precursor family (bases 8-85)
Source: RNAcentral
GAAAGGUACUUAACUGGUUUUGCGAUGUGUUCCUAAUAUGUACCAUGACUAUAUUGGGGACAUUUUGCAUGCAAAGUUUUGUAUCAGUAC